UUCAGGAUGAGGACUUUUAAGUUAUGGCCAGUACUGUUCAUGAAAAAAAGUCGGGUUUUGGGGCUCCGCCGCCAGCCAAGGAAGGGUGGUCUCCCUCUCUCGCCCUUCGUUGGUCCACUGAAGCCGUAGGCGCUCCCCUCCUCUCCUCUACCCCUUCCCCUCCGGUCUCCUCAUUCCAGCGCCGCCACCAGGAGUUUGGGGCGUGGGUUUUCCGUCGCCGCCUCCACGACUAGGAGAGGGUCUUCUUCUCCCCUUGCCGCAACCACGGCAAGCAGGGGAGGGGAAAGCUCCCUUCUUCCCCGCGCUGCCGCCACAGGGACCUUCGACAGGACUCGCCGCUCAUCGGACCACUCGCACCGCACCCACAACCCACGCCCAUCGCUGACCGCGCACAGCAGCUCCUCCGCCGGCAGCCUCCGCGCGUUGCCAGCCCCCCGCCAGCCCCCCGCCAGCAACCUCCACGUGUACAGUAGCUCCUCCGCCGGCAACCUCCGCACGCUGCCAGCCCCCCACCGACAACCUCCACGCGCCCCCAGCAGCUCCUCCGGGCUUCGCCGGUAGCUUUCGCGUGCCGCAACCAUCACUUACCAGCAGUCCCUGUGCUGACUUUACCUCGGUUCCGAUUUGUGUCGCUGUGGUAUGCCGAUCCAUGUGUUGAUUCAAUCUGUGUGUCGUGUUCUGGCCUUUAUCUUGUCACUGUGUUCCGGCAUACGCGCCGUUGUCACAUUCCGGCCUGCGAGCCAAUGUCAUACGCCGGUUGUGUCGUCGUUGUAUUCCGAUUGUGUGCCACCUUUUAGAUCCAUGCUGUAUUCGGCUCCGCGUCGUCACCUCCGGACCCAACUCCUCUUCGGACGGUUCAGAGGCAUCCACCCUUCCGGGUCACGACGACUCGAUCAGCUUCGCAACCAGCUCACCGCUCCAUCCGAAAGCGCCCCCCGGGGCCAGGGUACGUCGCCGUACUCAUUUCGUACUUAUUUUAUUGUCCUGUUAUUAUUCAGAUCAUUAUAUAUUCGUGGGGCUCGCCUCGAGCAUCGAGGUACCAGAGACCGGGGCAACCCGGUCGCUGGCUGCAGGUAUUGUUGACCGAAGGACUUCUGGCGACUUGGUCAACACAGGAGACAUCCCACCAUCCAGGUCAUGAUGAUGCGGUCAAUAUUCCAGACACGUCAUUCCGGCAGGUCCGUCUUCUCAGCUUCCCGACAGGAACAUAAUUGGCGCCGUCUGUGGGAACUUCGCCUGAUUUGGAAUGUGGAGAUGGAAGACGCCGGAAAAUUUUGCUAUAUUCAUGACCUUGGUGGGUUUCGACGAGCAUAUCAUAUUCGCCUCACUCCACGAGUACUCGGGAGUCGAGGAAUUGAAUUAGAUCCUCUGCUGGUUGGCAGAUUUCAAUGUGGAUGAUGCUGGCUUGAUAUUUGAAAAUUAUGAAGAACUUUUGAGUGCAUCUCAUAGCCAAGAAUCUGUUUGUUUGAAGAUGGUGGAUUAGAUCAUUUUUUUUAUAUUAGGGAGGCUAAUCGGUUGGACAAGCUCAUCGGGCUAGUUUUCAUUUUGUCAUUUGGGGUUUAAUUAUUAUGUCAGCUUCUAUGUAUCAUGUUCUGUUCUAUUAUAUAACGAAACAUGAUUAACUAUUCCUUUCUCUA
This is a long non-coding RNA of Zingiber officinale, 1637 nucleotides long. RefSeq lists it as uncharacterized. The record is from RefSeq and is a predicted model, not a curated record. NCBI's taxonomy places the organism in Eukaryota, Viridiplantae, Streptophyta, Magnoliopsida, Zingiberales, Zingiberaceae. The transcript is spliced from 2 exons.